UCUGAGUGAGUCGUCCUGCUGGCAUUCUGUGGGAAUUAACCUUUGUUGCUGCUUGUUACCUGAUGCGGUGCAUGAACAAAGGCUAUGCAUGACGGAGUUUCACGUAGUCACUCAGCCCAAAGGAAACGUGAGCAUACACUACCCUCUGAUUCAGCCAAGAGAGGCGCUGGGUCACCCGUCUACCACAGAGGGACGCACUAGCUGAUUCAGAAAACCCGUGCUCAACACAGGAAAAAGCAGCAAGUCAGCACCACUCUUUUGUGGAGUGGUUAAAGGCAAAGACAAAGAUGAAGAAGAAAAAGAAAAAGAAGAAGAGGACUUGGAAGAGGAAGGAGGAAGAGAAGAACGAGGACAAGAAGGAGAAAUUAAUAUCCUUUGCAUUUACCAAAAUAAAGGAUUUUUUGUAAAGCUC
This is a long non-coding RNA of Equus caballus (horse), 412 nucleotides long. RefSeq lists it as uncharacterized. The record is from RefSeq and is a predicted model, not a curated record. Lineage: Eukaryota; Metazoa; Chordata; Mammalia; Perissodactyla; Equidae.